This 905-nucleotide ribosomal RNA is filed under the name Plateros sp. UPOL A00500. RNAcentral's name for it is "SSU rRNA". It matches the Rfam family "Eukaryotic small subunit ribosomal RNA", at positions 910 to 1774 of the family's 1831-position model. Lineage: Eukaryota; Metazoa; Arthropoda; Insecta; Coleoptera; Lycidae. The record is from RNAcentral.
GGUGAAAUUCUUGGACCGUCGCAAGACGGACAGAAGCGAAAGCAUUUGCCAAAAACGUUUUCAUUGAUCAAGAACGAAAGUUAGAGGUUCGAAGGCGAUCAGAUACCGCCCUAGUUCUAACCAUAAACGAUGCCAGCUAGCGAUCCGCCGACGUUCCUCCGAUGACUCGGCGGGCAGCUUCCGGGAAACCAAAGCUUUUGGGUUCCGGGGGAAGUAUGGUUGCAAAGCUGAAACUUAAAGGAAUUGACGGAAGGGCACCACCAGGAGUGGAGCCUGCGGCUUAAUUUGACUCAACACGGGAAACCUCACCAGGCCCGGACACCGGAAGGAUUGACAGAUUGAGAGCUCUUUCUUGAUUCGGUGGGUGGUGGUGCAUGGCCGUUCUUAGUUGGUGGAGCGAUUUGUCUGGUUAAUUCCGAUAACGAACGAGACUCUGGCCUGCUAACUAGGCGUAUUUCCGACAUCUCGAAGGCCCGCCGGCCUGGUGCGUUCGCGUGCCAAGUCGUGCGCGGUUUUUACUGUCGGCGUACAAACAAUUCUUCUUAGAGGGACAGGCGGCUUCUAGCCGCACGAGAUAGAGCAAUAACAGGUCUGUGAUGCCCUUAGAUGUUCUGGGCCGCACGCGCGCUACACUGAAGGAAUCAGCGUGUCCUCCCUGGCCGAGCGGCCCGGGUAACCCGCUGAACCUCCUUCGUGCUAGGGAUUGGGGCUUGCAAUUGUUCCCCAUGAACGAGGAAUUCCCAGUAAGCGCGAGUCAUAAGCUCGCGUUGAUUACGUCCCUGCCCUUUGUACACACCGCCCGUCGCUACUACCGAUUGAAUGAUUUAGUGAGGUCUUCGGACCGGCACGCGGUGGCGUUUCGACGUCGCCGAUGAUGCUGGAAAGAUGACCAAACUUGAUCAUUU